RNAcentral lists this long non-coding RNA (606 nucleotides) under Homo sapiens (human). RNAcentral describes it as "non-protein coding LINC02502:7". The record is from RNAcentral. Lineage: Eukaryota; Metazoa; Chordata; Mammalia; Primates; Hominidae.
AAGAGGAAGUCACCUUGUGAUAAUCUGGUCAUUGGGAAAGGCACAGAGAUAAGUCGAGCUAUACUUCUUACAUUAAAUACAUUUUCGUGGAUGUUUGAUGAGGGGCCAGAAAGUGUUACCCAAUGAACCUCCAUGGUACCAAAUACAAUCAAGCUUGUCCCAGGUUUCUACUGUACAAUUUCUCAUUGAAAACUGCCUCAGCAUUUUUUAAGAAGACAUCACUUCCCCCUUGGGGAAGAAAGAACUCAAUGACUUGAAGAAACUGAUGCUUCAGGUACCUUGAAAAAUUCAGCUGGUUUUGAUGAGAAACAGUCAAUGGGGCUGUUAGGGGUCCUGGCGGAUGCUUAGGCAGUGGCUGUCCUGGAUUCCAGGGAAUGCCCCAAACCCAGUGAUGCAGGACCCAGGACUCCAUCUGCUCAUUCUUCAUAAGGUUGGCUCACAGGUCAUCUGCUGAGAAGGUCAUCUUCUCCGUCUUCACUGGGCUCACUGAAUGAGGACAUUCCAAGAUCCCAGCUCAUCUCAUUUGAGCUUUCCUUUUCCUAAUCCCAUGCAUCUGUGUUUGAGAAAAUCUUCCCAAGUGAUAGAUCUUCUAUUUUCCGAUUUCUU